Molecule: ribosomal RNA, 253 nt
Filed under: uncultured bacterium
Lineage: Bacteria
Description: partial 16S ribosomal RNA
Rfam family: Bacterial small subunit ribosomal RNA
Source: RNAcentral
GACGUAGGGCGCGAGCGUUGUCCGGAUUUAUUGGGCGUAAAGAGCUCGUAGGCGGCCUUGUAAGUCGGAUGUGAAAUCCCUCGGCUUAACCGAGGACGUGCAUCCGAAACUGUGAGGCUCGAGUAUGGAAGAGGGUCGCAGAAUUCCCGGUGUAGAGGUGAAAUUCGUAGAUAUCGGGAGGAAUACCAGUGGCGAAGGCGGCGACCUGGGCCAAUACUGACGCUGAGGUGCGAAAGCGUGGGGAGCAAACAGG